Molecule: transfer-messenger RNA, 438 nt
Filed under: Nitrosomonadaceae bacterium
Lineage: Bacteria; Pseudomonadati; Pseudomonadota; Betaproteobacteria; Nitrosomonadales; Nitrosomonadaceae
Rfam family: transfer-messenger RNA
About the family: Bacterial tmRNA, also known as 10Sa RNA or SsrA, is named for its dual tRNA and mRNA-like properties. Its role is to liberate the mRNA from a stalled ribosome.
Source: RNAcentral
GGGGAUGAACUGGUAUCGACUCAGUUAGAGGAGCCUAAGCCGCGUAUCGUGGAAGUCUUGUUGGCCACGUAAAAAAGCAAGGCAAACAUUGAAUGCUAAAAACACCAAUGAAGUCAGUGUGCUCAACAUCCUCGCUGCCGCUCAGGUCAAGGCGCUCGUCGCCUCCCUCAACGGUGAAGUGGAAGCUGUAGCCUAAGCUGUCGGGCCCAAGGGCCUGACACCGGUGCUGCUAUGACGCCUGCUAGCAGCAAGCACCGUAAUUAGCAGGUAGCCUAUGAUGACGAAUUGUUGCUCAUUGUUGGUUGUAAGUCGGAACAACAAUAAAGCUGUUGGUGUUGGUUGUGUUGCACCGACCCAGCUUCUAUAAGCAUCACUACAUACGUAGACGCCAGUCAAAUCACGCUGAGGACCCGGGUUCGACUCCCGGCAUCUCCACCA